RNAcentral lists this ribosomal RNA (440 nucleotides) under uncultured Lachnospiraceae bacterium. Its description in RNAcentral is "bacterial SSU rRNA". It matches the Rfam family "Bacterial small subunit ribosomal RNA", at positions 338 to 795 of the family's 1533-position model. The record is from RNAcentral. Lineage: Bacteria; Bacillati; Bacillota; Clostridia; Lachnospirales; Lachnospiraceae.
CCUACGGGUGGCAGCAGUGGGGAAUAUUGGACAAUGGGGGAAACCCUGAUCCAGCGACGCCGCGUGAGUGAAGAAGUAUUUCGGUAUGUAAAGCUCUAUCAGCAGGGAAGAAAAUGACGGUACCUGACUAAGAAGCCCCGGCUAACUACGUGCCAGCAGCCGCGGUAAUACGUAGGGGGCAAGCGUUAUCCGGAUUUACUGGGUGUAAAGGGAGCGCAGACGGCAAUGCAAGUCUGAAGUGAAAGGCGUGGGCUCAACCCAUGAACUGCUUUGGAAACUGUAUAGCUUGAGUGUCGGAGGGGUAAGCGGAAUUCCUAGUGUAGCGGUGAAAUGCGUAGAUAUUAGGAGGAACACCGGAGGCGAAGGCGGCUUACUGGACGACAACUGACGUUGAGGCUCGAAGGCGUGGGGAGCAAACAGGAUUAGAUACCCUUGUAGUC